CGCGGUAAUUCCAGCUCCAAUAGCGUAUACUAAAGUGUUGCAGUUAAAAAGCUCGUAGUUGGAUUACUGGCGGGGACGGCUGGUCGGUCUCGAAAGGGGCUGUACUGUUGUUGGUUCCCGUCAUCCUUGGGGAGAGCGGCUCUUACAUUAAGUUGUCGGCGUCGGGAUCCCUAUCUUUUACUGUGAAAAAAUUAGAGUGUUCAAAGCAGGCUUAGGCCCUGAAUACAUUAGCAUGGAAUAAUAAGAUACGACCUUGGUGGUCUAUUUUGUUGGUUUGCACGCCAAGGUAAUGAUUAAUAGGGAUAGUUGGGGGUAUUCGUAUUCAAUUGUCAGAGGUGAAAUUCUUGGAUUUAUGGAAGACGAACUACUGCGAAAGCAUUUACCAAGGAUGUUUUCAUUAAUCAAGAACGAAAGUUAGGGGAUCGAAGAUGAUUAGAUACCAUCGUAGUCUUAACCAUAAACUAUGCCGACUAGGGAUCGGUGGGUGCAUUUUUAGGCCUCAUCGGCACCUUAUGAGAAAUCAAAGUCUUUGGGUUCCGGGGGGAGUAUGGUCGCAAGGCUGAAACUUAAAGAAAUUGACGG
Molecule: ribosomal RNA, 582 nt
Filed under: uncultured Eustigmatophyceae
Lineage: Eukaryota; Eustigmatophyceae
Description: SSU rRNA
Rfam family: Eukaryotic small subunit ribosomal RNA
Source: RNAcentral